Molecule: non-coding RNA, 220 nt
Organism: Streptomyces sp. Tu6071
Lineage: Bacteria; Bacillati; Actinomycetota; Actinomycetes; Kitasatosporales; Streptomycetaceae
Source: Rfam
ACACUGCCCGCAGCGACUGGUUCGCCCCGUCCGCCAGGCGGGAGCGUCGCAAGAGGGAACCCGGUGGGAAUCCGGGACUGCCCCGCAGCGGUGAGCGGGAACGACCGCCGUCAUACGCACUGGGCCCGGGUACGGGUCUGGGAAGCGACGGCCAGUAGGUGUCCUCCGUCCGGAGGGCGUGCCCGCGAGUCCGAAGACCUGCCAGUCGCCCGGACGCGCU